GACGAACCGAGCGAACGUUGUUCGGAAUCACUGGGCUUAAAGGGCGCGUAGGCGGGUUCGUAAGUCUGUGGUGAAAGCCCCCAGCUUAACUGGGGAAGUGCCAUGGAUACUGCGAAUCUUGAGGAGGGUAGGGGCAUCUGGAACACUGGGUGGAGCGGUGAAAUGCGUUGAUAUCCAGUGGAACUCCGGUGGCGAAGGCGAGGUGCUGGACCCUUUCUGACGCUGAUGCGCGAAAGCCAGGGGAGCAAACGGG
This 253-nucleotide ribosomal RNA is filed under the name uncultured Zavarzinella sp. RNAcentral describes it as "partial 16S ribosomal RNA". It matches the Rfam family "Bacterial small subunit ribosomal RNA", at positions 524 to 776 of the family's 1533-position model. The record is from RNAcentral. Lineage: Bacteria; Pseudomonadati; Planctomycetota; Planctomycetia; Gemmatales; Gemmataceae.